CACAUGAAAGAAGUAAAUAAUCUCUAUUUAGCAAAAAAACAAUAUUGGAGUGCACAAUACAAAAUUCUGAUCAAAAUAACAUAUUAAAAUUACAAAUCAGUCACACUGGACAUUAAGAUACACAUAAUAUGUGCAUCGUGUUGACAGUAGUAUCACUAUCCUAUCCAAGUGGAGUAACCCUUCUAAACCAAACUCAAGUGUCUUCUAUUCUAUCUCAAUUACCUACAAAAUAAUAGCAAAAAAAAUGUGAGAACUAUCGACAUGAGAAAUCUAUUAUGGGAAACAUUCAGACAAUCCUCUAUUUAAAAUGACACUAAUUAGCUCACCCGCAAAGAAAUGACAAGUGCAAGGAACAAUAUACAGCAACAUCAGAUAUUUCAAUUAACAUGCACAUUUUAGCAGCAGGCAGAAAAGGAUUUGGCAUGCAGAAAGAACACAAAAAUAAAUCAAAUAUAAAUAUUAAGAGUGAGAUGGUUGGGGGAAUAUCUAUCCUGGAAAAUUAGAGCAUCAAUGAGUUACUAUAUGUGGAUAGAACAAAUCUUUACUAAGAUCGUUGAAAUAAAUGUCCUACUGAAACAAAGAACAUGAAAUAUUAUUAAAUAUGUAUAUUUCAGUCAACAUGUCUGACGUGAAGCAUAUUUUCAGUCUUCCACUAAUAUCAAAACGACACAUGCAUACCUAGAAAUCACUAUAAGCAUUUUAUAAAAAAAUCAAGUAACAUGACUACCAUUAAAAUAUGCGCUGCUAACUGAUUUUAAUCUCCAACAAUACACCACCAAUGCUUUCAGGAAGCUAUUCAGACCCAAGUAAUUCCUGCUAGAAAUUGGCAUAAAAUCCAAAACACAUACAAAACUAUAUAAGUAAUACAGCGAGCUCCGAAAUAAAUCUAGAGUAACUAGUCAUCUAUCUACCUGUGCACAACAAGAAAAAUGGGUGCACCACAAAAUAAAUGUUAUCUUCUUCAUUCGAUUUUUCAAGAUUGUUGCCUUUUCAAGUCGCUAAGAAGCAGUUAAGUACAUUGCAAUUAUAUGAUUUUGGCACAAAGCAUUUCACAGGAAUUAGAGCACUAUGAGUUUUGAUCCAUUGUACAAAAAAAAAAGAUUUGACACAGCACAUGGAACUUCAAGCGGCUUGUUUGUGAUUUCGCUUCUUUGUCAAGUAUUUUAGGUACCUAUAGAAGGAGACAGGGAGAUAAAGAAUUUGCAUGUAUGAUGUAUCUAGAGAUUAAAUUGUACAGCUACAUGUGUGGGCAGUCGAGAGCUACAUGAAAGUUUAUUAUCCAAUAACCAGAAAUCAUAUAGGUUGAAAACUGCAUAGCUAAAACAAGCCCAUUAACUAUAAACAAUAAAUGUCAUAUUUAUAUGAAAAGAAAUUGGCGGAAAGAAAACAGAAAAUACUCUCCUUAUUCUUGAAUUUGAAAGCUUUGUGACCUCUAUAGUAAUCAUUUCAGUAAGUAUAGGACCAGAAUCAUGAACUGAAUUUUUAGUUAGAAGAACAAGCAUUGAAUUACGUGUAUUGUCAGUCAAGCUUACUUCCAGUAAACAUUGAGCCCUAGCAGAACAUAAGGGCAAGUAGAUGCUUGAGUAAAGUGUAUGAAUAACAUAAAGGGCAUGUUCAGGAAAGGGCUGUGCAGAUAUCAUCACCAAGUAAAAAAAUGUUUCCAGUCCAUGUGAGAUAUUCAAAUUAUGCAGGCAAGGGCAGUGCAGAUAUCAUCACCAAGUGAAAAAUGUUUUUAGCUGUACAAAGACCAUUAGAUGCACUAACCGAUGUGGGAUCCAUCACCAUUAUGUGCAUGCAGAAACAUUGGACACUGCAGUAAAAUGUACCUACAGAAUUUGCAGAUAUGAGUUUUUCUUCAGUUAGAUAUAAAAUGGUAUGAGUUUCUUAAUACUAAAAGCUGACAGGAUAAAUCUUGCAGGCCAUUACUCUGAAUUAUAAGUGUACAACUACAACACAAUGCUUGAACUGCAACAAGAACGGAGAUUUGCCUAAUACUUUUUGUUUGCAGUACAAAAAAUGAAUGUGCUUCACGAUGUGACUAGGAAGGAACAAAGCACAAACAAUCAGUAACGAACGAGUAACCCUCAGUGGUGCUCCUGCCCUUGCUGUUCGUUUUAAUGUCGAACAAGGCAGACGCCCAGACGUUUUCUCUGUACUGGUUCAACAUGGCCAACGAGGCCUCCAGCCAUCCUUUAACAGGUACGGCUAGAUAAAUCCAUGGCCGGUGUUUUGCCCCAAGAGUUUUGCUCGUCCAGGUGGUACUCUGUACUCCUCUGCAGAGCUCCAAAAAAAUCUUAUAUUAGCGGAGACGAGCAGAGGGGAACGGUAGGGUACGGGACCAGUGCAGAGGUACGUACUGGGUCUUUCCGGCUGGAGAAGGUGAACGACGACGCAUAGAGGAGGCUGCGCACCACCGAUGGAGAAGACGACCGCGACGAUGAGGGGAGGGACGAUGGGGCGGCUGACGGACAAUUGGACCGAGCCACAGAUCGCCGAUGUACUCUGCAUCUGUGGAUGUGUUGCCACCUCCUGUACGGCUGUACCUCACCUCAGCUCGCCGCCAGAUGGAGCUGGAUCAAUGCACGCCGCCAGCGACCUCAGGGCCGUCCAAAUCCGGCAGUUGGUCCCCCCGCCACCGCUGCAGCCUCAGAUCGAGGGGUAUGACUGGGAUGCAAUAACUCAAGGGGCCGAUCUGAAUGGGAAGAGGCGUGGAAUGGGGAGGGGUCCCGGGCGGGAUAGAUGUGGAGGGGCUCGACGCGGUGUGGUUCAGGGCCGGCGCCAUCGGCGUCGGCGCCGACAUGUAGUGGCGAGAGGAGGAAGGUGAAGUGGCGGCGGCUAUGGUUGGUACGGGAGAUGGGAGAAAGGUAACUAGGGUUAGGCUGGUGUGGACUCUGUAGUUAAAUGGGCUGGCUU
RNAcentral lists this long non-coding RNA (2913 nucleotides) under Triticum aestivum (bread wheat). Its description in RNAcentral is "long non-coding RNA (TAES_LNC002255)". The record is from RNAcentral. Lineage: Eukaryota; Viridiplantae; Streptophyta; Magnoliopsida; Poales; Poaceae.